AUCCUGGCUCAGGAUGAACGCUGGCGGUAUGCUUAACACAUGCAAGUCGAACGGUGUCUUCGGACACAGUGGCGGACGGGUGAGUAACGCGUGAGAAUCUGGCUCUAGGUCUGGGACAACCACUGGAAACGGUGGCUAAUACCGGAUGUGCCGAGAGGUGAAAGGUUAACUGCCUAGAGAUGAGCUCGCGUCUGAUUAGCUAGUUGGAAGUGUAAUGGACUCCCAAGGCGACGAUCAGUAGCUGGUCUGAGAGGACGAUCAGCCACACUGGGACUGAGACACGGCCCAGACUCCUACGGGAGGCAGCAGUGGGGAAUUUUCCGCAAUGGGCGAAAGCCUGACGGAGCAAUACCGCGUGAGGGAGGAAGGCUCUUGGGUCGUAAACCUCUUUUCUCAGGGAAGAACACAAUGACGGUACCUGAGGAAUAAGCAUCGGCUAACUCCGUGCCAGCAGCCGCGGUAAUACGGAGGAUGCAAGCGUUAUCCGGAAUGAUUGGGCGUAAAGCGUCCGCAGGUGGCAAUGUAAGUCUGCUGUUAAAGAGUCUAGCUCAACUAGAUAAAAGCAGUGGAAACUACAUAGCUAGAGUACGUUUGGGGCAGAGGGAAUUCCUGGUGUAGCGGUGAAAUGCGUAGAGAUCAGGAAGAACACCGGUGGCGAAGGCGCUCUGCUAGGCCGUAACUGACACUGAGGGACGAAAGCUAGGGGAGCGAAUGGGAUUAGAUACCCCAGUAGUCCUAGCCGUAAACGAUGGAUACUAGGCGUGGCUUGUAUCGACCCGAGCCGUGCCGUAGCUAACGCGUUAAGUAUCCCGCCUGGGGAGUACGCCGGCAACGGUGAAACUCAAAGGAAUUGACGGGGGCCCGCACAAGCGGUGGAGUAUGUGGUUUAAUUCGAUGCAACGCGAAGAACCUUACCAAGGCUUGACAUGUCGCGAAUCCUGGUGAAAGCUGGGAGUGCCUUCGGGAGCGCGAACACAGGUGGUGCAUGGCUGUCGUCAGCUCGUGUCGUGAGAUGUUGGGUUAAGUCCCGCAACGAGCGCAACCCUCGUUUUUAGUUGCCAGCAUUAAGUUGGGCACUCUAGAGAGACUGCCGGUGACAAACCGGAGGAAGGUGGGGAUGACGUCAAGUCAGCAUGCCCCUUACGCCUUGGGCUACACACGUACUACAAUGCUCCGGACAGAGGGCAGCAAGCAUGCGAAUGCAAGCAAAUCCCGUAAACCGGAGCUCAGUUCAGAUCGCAGGCUGCAACUCGCCUGCGUGAAGGAGGAAUCGCUAGUAAUUGCAGGUCAGCAUACUGCAGUGAAUUCGUUCCCGGGCCUUGUACACACCGCCCGUCACACCAUGGAAGCUGGUAGUGCCCGAAGUCAUUACUCCAACCUUUCGGGGAGGAGGAUGCCUAAGGCAGGACUGGUGACUGGGGUGAAGUCGUAACAAGGUACCGUACCGGAAGGUGUGGCUUGGAUACCCUUCCU
RNAcentral lists this ribosomal RNA (1473 nucleotides) under Nostoc sp. 8963. RNAcentral describes it as "bacterial SSU rRNA". It matches the Rfam family "Bacterial small subunit ribosomal RNA". Lineage: Bacteria; Bacillati; Cyanobacteriota; Cyanophyceae; Nostocales; Nostocaceae. The record is from RNAcentral.